GGGCAGUUAGCUCAGUUGGUAGAGCGCCACCCUUACAAGGUGGAUGUCGGGGGUUCGAGCCCCUCACUGCCCACCA
Molecule: transfer RNA, 76 nt
Filed under: Bradymonadales bacterium
Lineage: Bacteria; Deltaproteobacteria; Bradymonadales
Description: tRNA-Val
Rfam family: tRNA
About the family: Transfer RNA (tRNA) molecules are approximately 80 nucleotides in length. Their secondary structure includes four short double-helical elements and three loops (D, anti-codon, and T loops).
Source: RNAcentral